GCCAGGAUAGCUCAGCGGUAGAGCAACUGUUUUGUAAACAGUAGGUCGUGGGUUCGAAUCCCUCUCCUGGCU
RNAcentral lists this transfer RNA (72 nucleotides) under Candidatus Buchananbacteria bacterium RIFCSPHIGHO2_01_FULL_39_14. RNAcentral describes it as "tRNA-Thr". It matches the Rfam family "tRNA". From Rfam's summary of the family: Transfer RNA (tRNA) molecules are approximately 80 nucleotides in length. The record is from RNAcentral. Lineage: Bacteria; Candidatus Buchananiibacteriota. RNAcentral also lists the same sequence under 1 other name.